RNAcentral lists this ribosomal RNA (442 nucleotides) under uncultured bacterium. RNAcentral describes it as "partial 16S ribosomal RNA". It matches the Rfam family "Bacterial small subunit ribosomal RNA", at positions 338 to 795 of the family's 1533-position model. The record is from RNAcentral.
CCUACGGGGUGCUGCAGUGGGGAAUAUUGCACAAUGGGGGAAACCCUGAUGCAGCGACGCCGCGUGAGCGAGGAAGUAUUUCGGUAUGUAAAGCUCUAUCAGCAGGGACGAAAAAAGACGGUACCUGACUAAGAAGCCCCGGCUAACUACGUGCCAGCAGCCGCGGUAAUACGUAGGGGGCAAGCGUUAUCCGGAUUUACUGGGUGUAAAGGGAGCGUAGACGGCAAGGCAAGCCAGAAGUGAAAGGGCAGGGCUCAACCCUGUACAUGCUUUUGGAAACUGUAUGGCUGGAGUGCAGGAGAGGUAAGUGGAAUUCCUAGUGUAGCGGUGAAAUGCUUAGAGAUCAUACAGAACACCGAUUGCGAAGGCAGCUUACCAAGCUACUUCUGACGUUGAGGCACGAAAGCGUGGGGAGCAAACAGGAUUAGAUACCCGUGUAGUC